CUUCAAGGGCCAUUGUAAGCAACAUAACAAUGUAUGUUUUUUGCAUAAGUUAUGAUUCAAGAAACAGCUCUCUUAUUGUGUUUGUACAGCAGCAAUUUGCCAAAUCACUGCACCUAUAAGACUGUGCUUCCAUCUACGUUGUGCAUACAGUGUGCCAUGUGAAACACUACCGCCCCCAAGCUGUGACUGUGUGCAUGCAUAGUUGUCAGCUUGAGAGUCUACUUUGCAUCACCAUGUUCACAGAAAUGUGUAUAAACAUUUAAUUGCG
Molecule: non-coding RNA, 268 nt
Organism: Pelobates cultripes (western spadefoot toad)
Lineage: Eukaryota; Metazoa; Chordata; Amphibia; Anura; Pelobatidae
Source: the annotation of a GenBank genome assembly